RNAcentral lists this ribosomal RNA (504 nucleotides) under uncultured bacterium. RNAcentral's name for it is "bacterial SSU rRNA". It matches the Rfam family "Bacterial small subunit ribosomal RNA", at positions 30 to 518 of the family's 1533-position model. The record is from RNAcentral.
CGAACGCUGGCGGCGCGUCUUAAGCAUGCAAGUCGAACGGCAAGGCAGGUGCUUGCACCUGCCCUAGAGUGGCGGACUGGUGAGUAACACGUGGGUGACAUGCCUUUAGUGGGGAUAGCUACUAGAAAUAGUAGAUAAUACCGAAUGUGAUCAAUAUUUAUAGAUGAUGGUUAGAGGAAAGGAGCUAAGGCUUCGCUAAAAGAUUGGCCCGCGGCCCAUUAGCUAGUUGGUAGGGUAAAGGCUUACCAGGCGAUGAUGGGUAUCCGGCCUGAGAGGGUGAUCGGACACAUUGGGACUGAGAUACGGCCCAGACUCCUACGGGAGGCAGCAGCUAAGAAUAUUCCACAAUGGACGAAAGUCUGAUGGAGCGACGCCGCGUGGAUGAUGAAAAGGCCGAAAGGUUGUAAAAUCCUUUUACACUGGAGGAAUAAGCAGAGUAGGGAAUGACUCUGUGAUGACUGUACAGUUUGAAUAAGCAACGGCUAAUUACGUGCCAGCCGCCGC